Molecule: ribosomal RNA, 250 nt
Filed under: uncultured bacterium
Lineage: Bacteria
Description: partial 16S ribosomal RNA
Rfam family: Bacterial small subunit ribosomal RNA
Source: RNAcentral
GACAGAGGGUGCAAACGUUGCUCGGAAUUACUGGGCGUAAAGCGCGUGUAGGCGGACCGGAAAGUCGGGCGUGAAAUCCCUGGGCUCAACCCAGGAACUGCACUCGAAACUUCCGGUCUUGAGUGGUGGAGAGGGUAGUGGAAUUCCUGGUGUAGAGGUGAAAUUCGUAGAUAUCAGGAGGAACACCGGUGGCGAAGGCGGCUACCUGGACACCAACUGACGCUGAGACGCGAAAGCGUGGGGAGCAAAC